Molecule: long non-coding RNA, 327 nt
Filed under: Salmo salar (Atlantic salmon)
Lineage: Eukaryota; Metazoa; Chordata; Actinopteri; Salmoniformes; Salmonidae
Description: lncRNA (ENSSSAG00000097056.1)
Source: RNAcentral
CCUUGACCAAGUUCCAGGAAGUGACCAACAACCUGGAUUUUGCAAGGGAGUUGCAGAAGAGCUUCCUGUCUUUGGGGCAAGAGAUUCAGAAGCAUUGAGUUUGUAGGAGAGAAGAGGACGACCCAUGGUCGCUAGAAUGAAGACACAGUAGCAGAAUACAAUGAAGAGAGGACGACCCAUGGUCACUAGAUAGAAGCAUGAGAACGACAGGGAAGCACGCUGACAGUCCGGUCAAAGUCUUCCCGGGUCUGACCGUUCUGCUUGUCUGAUCCCUGGCGCCCGUCCACGGUUUUCAACUCUCCUCCUCCGGCGCUCGUGCAACUGAAC